This 253-nucleotide ribosomal RNA is filed under the name uncultured bacterium. RNAcentral describes it as "partial 16S ribosomal RNA". It matches the Rfam family "Bacterial small subunit ribosomal RNA", at positions 524 to 776 of the family's 1533-position model. The record is from RNAcentral.
UACGAACCGUCCAACCGUUAUUCGGAAUUACUGGGCUUAAAGGGUACGUAGGCGGCGCUGUCAGUCGGGUGUGAAAUCCCACGGCUCAACCGUGGAAUUGCGCCCGAUACUGCAGUGCUUGAGGGAGACAGAGGUAAGCGGAACUGAUGGUGGAGCGGUGAAAUGCGUUGAUAUCAUCAGGAACACCAGUGGCGAAAGCGGCUUACUGGGUCUCUUCUGACGCUGAGGUACGAAAGCCAGGGGAGCGAAGGGG